CAGAUUGGAGCUUGAUUUGAAGUAUUUUAUUUACAUUAAAAAGAUAAUUUUAUAAAUUUAAUCUGA
Molecule: transfer RNA, 66 nt
Filed under: Basilepta melanopus
Lineage: Eukaryota; Metazoa; Arthropoda; Insecta; Coleoptera; Chrysomelidae
Description: tRNA-Val
Source: RNAcentral